Molecule: ribosomal RNA, 300 nt
Filed under: uncultured Gracilimonas sp.
Lineage: Bacteria; Pseudomonadati; Balneolota; Balneolia; Balneolales; Balneolaceae
Description: bacterial SSU rRNA
Rfam family: Bacterial small subunit ribosomal RNA
Source: RNAcentral
GCUAACUCCGUGCCAGCAGCCGCGGUAAUACGGAGGGUGCAAGCGUUGUCCGGAAUCAUUGGGUGUAAAGGGUGCGUAGGCGGGAGCUUAAGUCUGUGGUGAAAUCUUACCGCUUAACGGUGAAAUGGCCAUGGAAACUAGGCUUCUUGAGUACAGAAGAGGUUGGUGGAAUUCGUAGUGUAGCGGUGAAAUGCAUAGAUAUUACGAAGAACAUCAGUGGCGAAGGCGGCCAACUGGACUGUUACUGACGCUGAGGCACGAAAGCGUGGGGAUCGAACAGGAUUAGAUACCCUUGUAGUC